Molecule: ribosomal RNA, 253 nt
Filed under: uncultured bacterium
Lineage: Bacteria
Description: partial 16S ribosomal RNA
Rfam family: Bacterial small subunit ribosomal RNA
Source: RNAcentral
UACGGAGGGCGCAAGCGUUAAUCGGAAUCACUGGGCGUAAAGCGCGCGUAGGCGGCAUGGUAAGUCGGAUGUGAAAGCCCGAGGCCCAACCUCGGAAAUGCAUUCGAAACUGCCUCGCUCGAGUUCCGGAGAGGGUGGUGGAAUUCCCGGUGUAGAGGUGAAAUGCGUAGAUAUCGGGAGGAACACCAGUGGCGAAGGCGGCCACCUGGACGGAGACUGACGCUGAGAUGCGAAAGCGUGGGGAGCAAACAGG